This 473-nucleotide ribosomal RNA is filed under the name uncultured bacterium. RNAcentral's name for it is "partial 16S ribosomal RNA". It matches the Rfam family "Bacterial small subunit ribosomal RNA", at positions 28 to 507 of the family's 1533-position model. The record is from RNAcentral.
GGUGAACGCUGGCGGCGUGCCUAAGACAUGCAAGUCGAGCGGGCCGCGGGGUUUUACUCCGUGGUCAGCGGCGGACGGGUGAGUAACGCGUGGGUGACCUACCCGGAAGAGGGGGACAACCCGGGGAAACUCGGGCUAAUCCCCCAUGUGGACCCGCCCCUUGGGGUGUGUCCAAAGGGCUUUGCCCGCUUCCGGAUGGGCCCGCGUCCCAUCAGCUAGUUGGUGGGGUAAUGGCCCACCAAGGCGACGACGGGUAGCCGGCCUGAGAGGGUGGCCGGCCACAGGGGCACGGAGACACGGGCCCCACUCCUACGGGAGGCAGCAGGUAGGAAUCUUCCGCAAUGGGCGCAAGCCUGACGGAGCGACGCCGCUGGGAGGAAGAAGCCCUGCGGGGUGUAAACUCCUGAACCCGGGACGAAACCCCCGACGAGGGGACUGACGGUACCGGGGUAAUAGCGCCGGCCAACUCCGUG